GUGGGGAAUAUUGGACAAUGGGCGCAAGCCUGAUCCAGCCAUGCCGCGUGAGUGAUGAAGGCCUUAGGGUUGUAAAGCUCUUUCAGUGGGGACGAUAAUGACGGUACCCACAGAAGAAGCCCCGGCUAACUGCGUGCCAGCAGCCGCGGUAAUACGAAGGGGGCUAGCGUUGUUCGGAUUUACUGGGCGUAAAGCGCACGUAGGCGGAUCGUUAAGUCGGGGGUGAAAUCCUGGAGCUCAACUCCAGAACUGCCUUCGAUACUGGCGAUCUUGAGUCCGGAAGAGGUGAGUGGAACUCCUAGUGUAGAGGUGGAAUUCGUAGAUAUUAGGAAGAACACCAGUGGCGAAGGCGGCUCACUGGUCCGGUACUGACGCUGAGGUGCGAAAGCGUGGGGAGCAAACAGGAUUAGAUACCCGUGUAGUCC
RNAcentral lists this ribosomal RNA (425 nucleotides) under uncultured bacterium. RNAcentral describes it as "partial 16S ribosomal RNA". It matches the Rfam family "Bacterial small subunit ribosomal RNA", at positions 354 to 796 of the family's 1533-position model. The record is from RNAcentral.